CCUACGGGAGGCAGCAGUGGGGAAUUUUGGACAAUGGGCGAAAGCCUGAUCCAGCAAUGCCGCGUGAGUGAAGAAGGCCUUCGGGUUGUAAAGCUCUUUUGUCAGGGAAGAAACGGUGAAAGCUAAUAUCUUUUGCUAAUGACGGUACCUGAAGAAUAAGCACCGGCUAACUACGUGCCAGCAGCCGCGGUAAUACGUAGGGUGCAAGCGUUAAUCGGAAUUACUGGGCGUAAAGCGUGCGCAGGCGGUUUUGUAAGUCUGAUGUGAAAUCCCCGGGCUCAACCUGGGAAUUGCAUUGGAGACUGCAAGGCUAGAAUCUGGCAGAGGGGGGUAGAAUUCCACGUGUAGCAGUGAAAUGCGUAGAUAUGUGGAGGAACACCGAUGGCGAAGGCAGCCCCCUGGGUCAAGAUUGACGCUCAUGCACGAAAGCGUGGGGAGCAAACAGGAUUAGAUACCCUGGUAGUCCACGCCCUAAACGAUGUCUACUAGUUGUCGGGUCUUAAUUGACUUGGUAACGCAGCUAACGCGUGAAGUAGACCGCCUGGGGAUACGGUCGCAAGAUUAAAACUCAAAUGAAAUUGAGG
RNAcentral lists this ribosomal RNA (584 nucleotides) under uncultured bacterium. RNAcentral describes it as "bacterial SSU rRNA". It matches the Rfam family "Bacterial small subunit ribosomal RNA", at positions 338 to 916 of the family's 1533-position model. The record is from RNAcentral.